This 582-nucleotide long non-coding RNA is filed under the name Homo sapiens (human). RNAcentral's name for it is "non-protein coding lnc-TMEM161B-10:3". The record is from RNAcentral. Lineage: Eukaryota; Metazoa; Chordata; Mammalia; Primates; Hominidae.
ACACGCACACAUCGUCUCCAGCUCUCUGCUCGCUCUGCUCGCAGUCACAGACACUUGAGCACACGCGUACACCCAGACAUCUUCGGGCUGCUAUUGGAUUGACUUUGAAGGUUCUGUGUGGGUCGCCGUGGCUGCAUGUUUGAAUCAGGUGGAGAAGCACUUCAACGCUGGACGAAGUAAAGAUUAUUGUUGUUAUUUUUUUUUUCUCUCUCUCUCUCUCUUAAGAAAGGAAAAUAUCCCAAGGACUAAUCUGAUCGGGUCUUCCUUCAUAACACUUAUUACUGGACCCACAAACAUACCUGAGGGACACGGACAUAAAAAUUAUCCUAGAGGUGUCUUCACUUUGAAAGGCAGUAUUUGCCAACAGAUUCGUUCUUACUGAAUUACAAAUCUCAGAGAUUUCCUGUUUACCAGAAGUCCUCUUGGAGUGCAUGGGAUAUAGAAGCAGCCAUUUUGAGCAUUCGCUUUGCACCAUCAACUGCCUAGCAUCUGAAAUUGAAGUCAGUCUUACAUAGGAACGAAUGCAGGAAUUUGGGAACUGAGCUGUGCAAGUGCUGAAGAAGGAGAUUUGUUUGGAGGAAA